GAUGAACGCUGGCGGCGUGCCUAAUACAUGCAAGUCGAGCGAACCACUUCGGUGGUGAGCGGCGAACGGGUGAGUAACACGUAGGUGAUCUGCCCAUCAGACGGGGACAACGAUUGGAAACGAUCGCUAAUACCGGAUAGGACGAAAGUUUAAAGGUGCUUCGGCACCACUGAUGGAUGAGCCUGCGGCGCAUUAGCUAGUUGGUAGGGUAAAGGCCUACCAAGGCGACGAUGCGUAGCCGACCUGAGAGGGUGAACGGCCACACUGGGACUGAGACACGGCCCAGACUCCUACGGGAGGCAGCAGUAGGGAAUCUUCGGCAAUGGGCGAAAGCCUGACCGAGCAACGCCGCGUGAAUGAUGAAGGCCUGG
RNAcentral lists this ribosomal RNA (371 nucleotides) under uncultured bacterium. RNAcentral's name for it is "bacterial SSU rRNA". It matches the Rfam family "Bacterial small subunit ribosomal RNA", at positions 28 to 419 of the family's 1533-position model. The record is from RNAcentral.